UCUAUUAAACCAAAAAUACUUUGAAGUAAAAAAAUAAAAAAAGAGAUGAUGGAUGAGAGCAUGAAGUGGAAAUGAUAUUAUUACUAUUAGUGUGGAGCGAGGGAAGAAAAAGUAGGAACUCAAAUUUUAGGGAGAUUUGUUUGGUGCCUGGAACAUGAAUUGAGGCUGACAAACUCUAUCAUAUUUAUGAACGUUAUUUUUUUUAGCACGUCAUAUUAAU
RNAcentral lists this long non-coding RNA (220 nucleotides) under Cicer arietinum (chickpea). Its description in RNAcentral is "long non-coding RNA (CARI_LNC001480)". Lineage: Eukaryota; Viridiplantae; Streptophyta; Magnoliopsida; Fabales; Fabaceae. The record is from RNAcentral.